RNAcentral lists this microRNA precursor (143 nucleotides) under Picea abies (Norway spruce). RNAcentral's name for it is "miR3693k stem-loop (pab-MIR3693k)". The record is from miRBase by way of RNAcentral. Lineage: Eukaryota; Viridiplantae; Streptophyta; Pinopsida; Pinales; Pinaceae.
UGAGCGUGCUCAGGAACUACUUAUAGAUGGGAUGUUGCUCGUUUAUGGGCGCUUGUAAAUUCAACAAAUGGAUCUGCUCGAGUGUUUGAAUAAGGACUAUGAUGAGCAGCCCCCCAUCUAUGAACAGUUCAUGAGCACCUACG